CACUUUCAGUCGUGAGGAAGGUAGUGUAGUUAAUUAGCUGCAUUAUUUGACGUUAGCGACAGAAGAAGUACCGGCUAACUCCGUGCCAGCAGCCGCGGUAAUACGGAGGGUGCGAGCGUUAAUCGGAAUUACUGGGCGUAAAGCGCAUGCAGGUGGUUUGUUAAGUUCAGAUGUGAAAGACCCGGGGCGUCAACCUCGGAAUAGCAUUUGAAACUAGGCAGACUAGAGUACUGUAGAGGGGGGUAGGAAGUUUCAGGUGUAGCGGUGAAAUGCGUAGAGAUCUGAAGGAAUACCGGUGGCGAAGGCGGCCCCCUCGGACAGAUACUGACACUCAGAUGCGAAAGCGUGGGGAGCAAACAGGAUUAGAUACCCUGGUAG
RNAcentral lists this ribosomal RNA (378 nucleotides) under uncultured bacterium. RNAcentral's name for it is "bacterial SSU rRNA". It matches the Rfam family "Bacterial small subunit ribosomal RNA", at positions 431 to 793 of the family's 1533-position model. The record is from RNAcentral.